GGGAAACAGAGGCAAACAUCACUUCCCUAACUGAAAAUCGUGGUGUCCCGGGUUCGAAUCCCGGUCCCGCCA
This 72-nucleotide transfer RNA is filed under the name Rubrobacter sp. RNAcentral describes it as "tRNA-OTHER". The record is from RNAcentral. Lineage: Bacteria; Bacillati; Actinomycetota; Rubrobacteria; Rubrobacterales; Rubrobacteraceae. RNAcentral also lists the same sequence under 1 other name.